AGCGAACGCUGGCGGCAGGCUUAACACAUGCAAGUCGAGCGGGCACUUUCGGGUGUCAGCGGCGGACGGGUGAGUAACGCGUGGGAACGUGCCCUCUGGUUCGGAAUAACUCAGGGAAACUUGAGCUAAUACCGGAUACGCCCUUUUGGGGAAAGGCUUGCUGCCGGAGGAUCGGCCCGCGUCUGAUUAGCUAGUUGGUGAGGUAACGGCUCACCAAGGCGACGAUCAGUAGCUGGUCUGAGAGGAUGAUCAGCCACACUGGGACUGAGACACGGCCCAGACUCCUACGGGAGGCAGCAGUGGGGAAUAUUGGACAAUGGGCGCAAGCCUGAUCCAGCCAUGCCGGGUGAGUGAUGAAGGCCUUAGGGUUGUAAAGCUCUUUUAUCCGGGACGAUAAUGACGGUACCGGAGGAAUAAGCCCCGGCUAACUUCGUG
Molecule: ribosomal RNA, 435 nt
Filed under: uncultured bacterium
Lineage: Bacteria
Description: partial 16S ribosomal RNA
Rfam family: Bacterial small subunit ribosomal RNA
Source: RNAcentral